CUCACAGCUGACAAUGCAUAUCAGAGCAAAAACUAAGCCAUGAGGCCAAAGGAACUGCCUGCAGGGCUCAGAGACAGGAUUAUUGUGAGGCACAGAUCUGGGGAAGGCUAGAAAGGCUGCUGCAAAGAAGGUCCCCAAGACUACAGCAGCCUCCACAAUUCACAAAUGGAAGAAGUUUGGCACAACCAGGACUCUUCCAGGAGCUGUAGGGCUUUUCCACUACAACUCUGGGUUCUGCCGAGCCAAACCAAGCCAUGCUGAUUUCCUUUUCCAUCACUAGUUUGACCGCGUCAAGCCCCACUCACUGGCAAGCCAGCCCCGCCUCCAAGCCCGCCAUCAUCAUCAUUCGGAGACACCUCGCUGCACCAAACAUUGAACUACCUGCCAGAUUCCCCAUAGCAGAAGAAGGAGAAAAAAAUUGAAGUUGAAGCAAUGGCUAACUGGACACGAGACACACAGGCCCUCAUCGCUGUCUAGAGUGAGAACGCCUUUCAGGAUGACCUGAACAGCGCAACUGAAAAUGAGAAGGUUGUCUGAGAAAUUUCGGCGAAGCUGAAGGCAUGUACAGUGCCAAGAGAAAAUUUUAAAAAACUCAAGUGACUGUACAAGCGUGUGGUCGACCAUAACCAGCAGGAUGGAUCGUAAAACAUGACGGUGGUUUGCAGGCAUGGACAAAGUUUUAGGAGAGAGGCCUGUAACAAACGGUGGUUCGAGACUGGAGUUGGUGAUUCUCCUGUUGGAAUCCCUCUGCCAGACAGAGAAAGUUGCAAGAUAAGCCAGCCAAGCUGCAGGCAUAUGAAGAGAAUGCUGUUGCAUCUACAUCUACUCCCCCACCCCAGCCCAGCAAGGCCACCUGUCCACAGAUGAGGACACCAUGCUCAACCUUCCUCCCAGGCAUUGCUCCACACCACAGCACCACUUGAAAAGAAGUGAGAAAGAGGAGAAGGUCUGAGAUGGGCCACAUUCUUGAAACAGUGGACAAGGUGAAGGACAUGUGUUCAAGGAUGGGUGGACAUACUGAGAACCUGCUGGAAGCACAGCACACAGAGGCCCAGGAAUUGCAAGACUGGGGAACGUGUUGAGGGCCCGCCAUGCUCAGAGAGAAAGAAAGACUCGGGCAUUGAACAAACUUUUCCGUGAGAGCAUGCAAAU
Cheilinus undulatus (humphead wrasse) is the source of this 1152-nucleotide long non-coding RNA. RefSeq lists it as uncharacterized. The transcript has 3 exons. Lineage: Eukaryota; Metazoa; Chordata; Actinopteri; Labriformes; Labridae. The record is from RefSeq and is a predicted model, not a curated record.